Molecule: ribosomal RNA, 253 nt
Filed under: uncultured prokaryote
Description: partial 16S ribosomal RNA
Rfam family: Bacterial small subunit ribosomal RNA
Source: RNAcentral
ACGGAGGGUGCAAGCGUUAUCCGGAUUCACUGGGUUUAAAGGGUGCGUAGGCGGCUUUGUAAGUCAGUGGUGAAAUAUCGCAGCUUAACUGUGAGGGUGCCAUUGAUACUGCAGAGCUUGAGUACAGAUGAGGUAGGCGGAAUUGACGGUGUAGCGGUGAAAUGCUUAGAUAUCGUCAAGAACACCUAUAGCGAAGGCAGCUUACUAGGCCGUAACUGACGCUGAGGCACGAAAGUGUGGGGAUCAAACAGGA